CCCUUAGAUGUCCGGGGCUGCACGCGCGCUACACUGAAGGAAUCAGCGUGCUAAAACCAUUGUCGAAAGGCAUUGGUAAACCCAUUAAAAUCCUACGUGAUUGGGAUCGGGAAUUGCAAUUAUUUCCCUUGAACGAGGAAUUCCCAGUAAGUGUGGGUCAUAAGCUCGCGUUGAUUACGUCCCUGCCCUUUGUACACACCGCCCGUCGCUGCCCGGGACUGAGCCGUUUCGAGAAAAGCGGGGACUGCUGCUGUCGGGGCUUUCGGGCCUUGGCUUCGGUGGAAACCGCUUUAAGCGCAGUGGCUUGAACCGGGCAAAAGUCGUANCA
RNAcentral lists this ribosomal RNA (328 nucleotides) under uncultured eukaryote. RNAcentral describes it as "partial 18S ribosomal RNA". It matches the Rfam family "Eukaryotic small subunit ribosomal RNA", at positions 1470 to 1796 of the family's 1831-position model. The record is from RNAcentral.